UGUUUAGCUACACUCGCAGUCUGUGAGGGCGUAGUCACGGCUGUCAAACAGUCCAAAUACUUCAUACUCAAUUGCUUGACAUUUCACGGCUUCUUCAACCAAAAAUUUGCUCGAUUAUUCCAUAGAGUUUGUCAUUUCAUUGUCAUAAUAUCUCCAUCUCAUUAUGUCUCGAGACAUCAUUUUUGACGACUGUCUAACAUGUGGAUGUUCAGUAGAAUUGUCCCUAUUGGGAAACCAUGUGUCCAAUUGCAUAAUUCUAAAUGAGCGGUCGGUUUCUGAAGUCCAAAGGAGAAAGAAAUUAGAUGUGGACGUAGACAAAGUGAAACAAUAUCUAGGUAAACAUAUCAUUUAGUUCCGUCUCUAUAAACUGGAGAAUCCUUCAAGCUAAUGCUUUUCAAAAUACAUACAAUAAGACAACGACAAAAUGCCCCUUUAAUGCAACGCAUUCAUCGAAGAGUGUACAAGGUUUGUGCUCCGAUUUCGCUAUGGCACAUUGAUGGACACCACAAAUUAGACCGAUACUCAUUCAUAAUCCAUGGAGCCAUCGACGGAUUUUCCCGUUUGAUCGUAUAUACAUAUCAUUGGAAAAUAUUAACUGUUCCGAAACAGUUAUUGGAUUAUUUGAAAAGGAGUUUAGGAAUGGGGCUAUCCAGCUAGUGUAAGGUCUGAUUUGGGAGGGGAAACGUACUAGUAGCGGAUUUCAUGAUAAACGCUAGAGGAGUGGAUAAAAACGCGUUUAGAACUGGAAAGUCUGUACACAAUCAGAGAGUAGAGAGGCUCUGGAAAGACGUUAUAGAGCGCUGUACUAUAACUUUCAUGGAUAUUUUUGGAGAAAUGGAAACCGAAGGUGUACUAGACGUCGAUUCCAACCUAGAUAUUUUCUGUCUGCAUAUAGUGGCCACGAACCUCAUAUAACGGUCCUUAGAGACCUUUAAAGACUCAUGGAACUGCCAUCCACUUCGAACAGAAAAUCAUCGCUCACCAAUGCAACUUUAUCACGAUGGUUUGCAGCAUUUAAAAACCCAGAAAGAUAAAGGAGCCAUAGAAGGCGAAGUUACUGAGCUGAUUCAGGGAGAGAAAUUAAAACCGAUUUCGAAGUGGUCUGGUUACAAGAAUACCUUCUAUCGUUGUGUAAUUGAUCAAUUUGGAGUGAAAAUUUCCGAAGAGGAACUACUCUGCAUUGUUGAUCUUAUCAUUCCAGCCACCAUUGAAAUUUGGAAUGUAAAAAAGAAAUUCAUUCAGCUUAAACAAUUUGUUCUCCAAAAUUUUGAUGAUUAGAAGUAAGUCAACCGAAGACUGAAAUAAAUGUUGUAAUGUACGGCUUGCCGUCACAGAUUGCA
RNAcentral lists this long non-coding RNA (1340 nucleotides) under Daphnia pulicaria. RNAcentral describes it as "uncharacterized LOC124338647, transcript variant X2". Lineage: Eukaryota; Metazoa; Arthropoda; Branchiopoda; Diplostraca; Daphniidae. The record is from RNAcentral.